GGGUGCGAUCAUACCAGCACUAAUGCACCGGAUCCCAUCAGAACUCCGCAGUUAACCGUGCUUGGGCGAGAGUAGUACUAGGAUGGGUGACCUCCUGGGAAGUCCUCGUGUUGCACCCC
Molecule: ribosomal RNA, 119 nt
Filed under: Gossypium raimondii (Peruvian cotton)
Lineage: Eukaryota; Viridiplantae; Streptophyta; Magnoliopsida; Malvales; Malvaceae
Also listed under: 1 other name
Source: RNAcentral